AGGAAAGCACCUUUACCAUCUACCUGGGCUGUAGCUGAACAUUCAUACUGUGGGAAACGCCUUCAAGAAUAUUCUUAGGUUAUUCCUAAAUCUUCACACUGGUUGAGAAACCACCUCCAGCACCUUCAUAAAAUAUGAGUGAACUUUCACAUUGUGGCUGAAAAAUGUCUUCUGGCAUCUUCCUAGUGUGUACUGAACAUUCACACUGUGGUUGGGAAACCCUCCAGCAGCAUUAUGGGCUCUGGCUGACCUUUAUACUGUGGUUGGAAAACCACCUCCAGGAUCUUCAUGGGAUGUGCCUGAACCUUCACAGAGUAGUUGGGGAAGCAUCUCAAGCACCAUCAUGGGAGGUGUUGCUGGACCUUUACACUGGUUUGGAAAGUGCCUCUAAGAUUUUCAAAGUUAUGGCUGGACAUCCACAUUGUGAUUGGGAAGCCCCCUCCAGAGUAUUCUUGGAGUGUUUCUAAACCUUCACAUUGGUUUGGAAACCACCUCCAGCAUCUUCAUGGGUUGUGUCUAGACCUUUGUGCUGUGGUUGGCAAACAACCUCCAGCAUCUUCAUAGGGUGUGGCUGGACCUUCACAAUGUGGUUGAGAAACUGCCUCCAGUAUCAUCAUGGAGUGUGGCUGAACAUUCAUGUGGCUGGGAAACCACCUCCAGAAUCUUUAUGGGAUAUGACUGAACCUUCACAUUGUGAUCGGGAAAGUACCUCCAGCAGCAUCAUUGGGUGAUGUUUAACAUUCACAUUGUGGUUAGGAAGCCACCUCCAGCAUCAUUAUGGAGUGUGACUGAACCUUCACAGUGUUGUUGAAAAAAUAACCUCCAUCAUCUUCAAGGGGAGUGGCUGACCAUUCAUUUUGUGGCUGGGAAACCACCUUGAGCAUUUUCAUGGGCCUAAACAUUCACACUGUGGUUGGGAAACCACCUCCAGGAUCUUCAUGGGCUGUGGCUGGACCUUCAUUCUGUGUUUUAAAAGCACCUUCAGAAACAUCACAGGGUGUGUUUGAACAUUUAAAUUGUAGUUAUGAAACCACCUUUAGCAUCUGUAUGGGCUGUAGCUGAACAUUCACACUGUGGUUGGAAAUCUGUUUCCACCAUCUUCAUGGGAUGUAGCUGAACAUCAUCACAUUGUAGUAGGGAAACCUCCAACAUCUUCAGUGGGUGUGGCUGAACUUUAACACUGUGGUUCAGAAAUCACCUCCAGGAUCAACAUGUGUGGCUAAACAUCUCAUUGUGGUUGGGAAACUGCAUCAAACAUCUGCAUGGAUGUGAGUGCACAUCCCUUCUGUGGUUGUCAACCACCUCCACCAUCUUCAUGAGGCUGACUAUAUCUUUACGUAGUGGUUGGGGAAGUGUGCCCACCAUCUUCAAGGGGUGUGGCUGAAUCUUAAAACCAUAGUUGGAAAAUCACCUCCAGUGUCCUCAAGGCAGUAGAUGAACAUUCUCACUGUGGCUAGGAAACCACUUCCAGAAUCUUCAUGGAGUGUGGCUAAACUUUCACACUGUGGUAGCAAAACUCCCUCCAGCAUCUUCAAGGAAUGUAACUGAACACCCAUUCUAUGGUUGGGAAACCACCUCCAGCAUCUUCAUGGGAUGUAGCUGAAUAUCACAUUGUGGUGGGGAAACGGCCUUUGGCAUCUACAUGGGAUGUGACUGGAUACCCAUCCUGUACUUGGGAAGCCACCUCCAGCAUCCAUGGGGUGUGGCUGGACACCACCCUGCAGUGAGGAAACAUUUCCAGUAUCUUUCUUCAUGUGCUGGACACUGUUCUGUAAUCCACUGAUUGGGAAAUCAACUUCAGCAUCUUCACUGAGUGUUCUCAAUACUCAACGCGCAGAACGCUCCUGACUCAGAUGUGCCUCAUCAGUUCUCCAGCAUCAGCUGGGUGCUCUGCAGCCCUGUUCUGUUUUGAGUCUAACCCGAGUCAGUGCAGGCUCCACAGGUGAGGGGUUUGGUCCCACACGGUUGUCCCCCACUUCAGAUGGAAUCUAAAUUAGUAGGAUCCAGGUCACUCACAACUUUGUCUGAAUUGGCUGUGACUCAGAGGUCCCCAAACUCCCUCCUUGGGUUCUGAAAUUUUUUAGGGAGUCUACAGAACUCAGGGAAACACAU
Molecule: long non-coding RNA, 2112 nt
Filed under: Heterocephalus glaber (naked mole-rat)
Lineage: Eukaryota; Metazoa; Chordata; Mammalia; Rodentia; Bathyergidae
Description: lncRNA (ENSHGLG00100034993.1)
Source: RNAcentral